CUUCGACAGGGCGAUCGGUGACCGUUGAAGAGAAGCAACAGAAGCAAGACAGUUUUUGCUGCUCCCUCCCAGCCACCGCUAAUGACAUCAUGCAUGGAUGGAUUUGAUUUUAUGGCCGUAGGGACAUCGUUUUGUGCUGUAUGCAGCCAACUUGCCUGUUCUUGUGCAUAAUCACAAGGUACCAAACUGUGCAAAAUGUACAAAGGAAAUCCCUGCGAUUGGAAUGAGAGGUAAAAUAUUUAUAAACUCAUGUACUGUAAGAAGGCAACAAUAUCACAGUGAAAAUGAUGGUCUGGAUAUGGUAUGGUUUGCUACAUCAUCAAUGGAAAUAUGUUUGUUUUUAUGUAGGUGGUCCAUAGCUAACUUUUGAAUUCUGGUCAUGUGAGAGAGACACCAUUACACUACUACGCCAUCACCUUUGGGGUUCUUCCCCAGAAAUACCAUCUGUGGCAUUUAAGCUGGAUGUCAAGUAAUUGUUGCGUACAAUGGCUUUCUAUGAAAAAUAUAUUUUUCCUAACAUUAUUCCUCUUAAUAAUAAUUAAAAAAAUUCAAAAGGGCCAUUUUUCCGCCCCCCUCCGUGACUGCGCCCUAGGCAACUGUCUCGUUCGCUUAAUGGUAGAAUCGGUCCCGACUACAUCACUGCCACAAAAGACAUUCUUAAUAAUUUAGGAUUCGGAUCAACCAAGAAAAUCUGCAAUUUUAAAUGGUUUAAGGAAAAGAUUAGAAGAUACUUAUUAGAUCAGCAUACACUUUCAUUGUUUUUUGACAGGCGAUUUUGAUUGUGAAAAAUAUGUUCUAUUGUACAGCAAAGUAGCACCUUUUCUUAAGUUGACAGCAACAAAUAAAAACCUACCAUAAAAUGAAAGGUGUAAUAAUGUGCCAAAAUGUGAAUAACUUAAAACUGCAUUACAUAUUGAGGAUAAAAGAUGUUAAUUGGUUCUCAAAUUCUGCAGGAAACAUAUAGUUCUACAGAUAUUUCCUGCCUUUUUUUAUUGCGCAUAAUACAAUUUGUUCUUGAUGUGCCUUGUGUGUUAGGAAUAAACUUUUUUGGGCUUCAGAAAGAUUCCUGCAGAAGAACGCUUUUAAUAAAUCUUGAAAAUCUUA
Long non-coding RNA from Pomacea canaliculata, 1104 nucleotides. RefSeq lists it as uncharacterized. Lineage: Eukaryota; Metazoa; Mollusca; Gastropoda; Architaenioglossa; Ampullariidae. The transcript has 2 exons. The record is from RefSeq and is a predicted model, not a curated record.